GCAAAUUCUGCUUAUAGGUAAUAGCUGAAGAUCUAAACCCACGUUCUUUUUUCCUUCUCUCUCUGUGCAAAUGCAUGCACUUGCUUUUUUUAGUAUGCAUUGCAUGUGCAUUCUUAUGCCCCUUUUGAUUGGAUAAUUUUAAGCUACUCAGGAGUUUCUCCAUAUCAACUUAAAUCCAGGACAACAAUAAAUACUAGAACA
RNAcentral lists this unclassified non-coding RNA (201 nucleotides) under Hevea brasiliensis (rubber tree). Lineage: Eukaryota; Viridiplantae; Streptophyta; Magnoliopsida; Malpighiales; Euphorbiaceae. The record is from RNAcentral.